Molecule: ribosomal RNA, 1494 nt
Filed under: uncultured bacterium
Lineage: Bacteria
Description: partial 16S ribosomal RNA
Rfam family: Bacterial small subunit ribosomal RNA
Source: RNAcentral
AGAGUUUGAUCCUGGCUCAGAUCGAACGCUGGCGGCAGGCCUAACACAUGCAAGUCGAGCGGAUGAAGGGAGCUUGCUCCUGGAUUCAGCGGCGGACGGGUGAGUAAUGCCUAGGAAUCUGCCUGGUAGUGGGGGAUAACGUCCGGAAACGGGCGCUAAUACCGCAUACGUCCUGAGGGAGAAAGUGGGGGAUCUUCGGACCUCACGCUAUCAGAUGAGCCUAGGUCGGAUUAGCUAGUUGGUGGGGUAAAGGCCUACCAAGGCGACGAUCCGUAACUGGUCUGAGAGGAUGAUCAGUCACACUGGAACUGAGACACGGUCCAGACUCCUACGGGAGGCAGCAGUGGGGAAUAUUGGACAAUGGGCGAAAGCCUGAUCCAGCCAUGCCGCGUGUGUGAAGAAGGUCUUCGGAUUGUAAAGCACUUUAAGUUGGGAGGAAGGGCAGUAAGUUAAUACCUUGCUGUUUUGACGUUACCAACAGAAUAAGCACCGGCUAACUUCGUGCCAGCAGCCGCGGUAAUACGAAGGGUGCAAGCGUUAAUCGGAAUUACUGGGCGUAAAGCGCGCGUAGGUGGUUCAGCAAGUUGGAUGUGAAAUCCCCGGGCUCAACCUGGGAACUGCAUCCAAAACUACUGAGCUAGAGUACGGUAGAGGGUGGUGGAAUUUCCUGUGUAGCGGUGAAAUGCGUAGAUAUAGGAAGGAACACCAGUGGCGAAAGCGACCACCUGGACUGAUACUGACACUUGAGUGCGAAAGCGUGGGGAGCAAACAGGAUUUAGAUACCCUGGUAGUCCACGCCGUAAACGAUGUCGACUAGCCGUUGGGAUCCUUGAGAUCUUAGUGGCGCAGCUANCGCGAUAAGUCGACCGCCUGGGGAGUACGGCCGCAGGUUAAAACUCAAAUGAAUUGACGGGGGCCCGCACAAGCGGUGGAGCAUGUGGUUUAAUUCGAAGCAACGCGAAGAACCUUACCUGGCCUUGACAUGCUGAGAACUUUCCAGAGAUGGAUUGGUGCCUUCGGGAACUCAGACACAGGUGCUGCAUGGCUGUCGUCAGCUCGUGUCGUGAGAUGUUGGGUUAAGUCCCGUAACGAGCGCAACCCUUGUCCUUAGUUACCAGCACCUCGGGUGGGCACUCUAAGGAGACUGCCGGUGACAAACCGGAGGAAGGUGGGGAUGACGUCAAGUCAUCAUGGCCCUUACGGCCAGGGCUACACACGUGCUACAAUGGUCGGUACAAAGGGUUGCCAAGCCGCGAGGUGGAGCUAAUCCCAUAAAACCGAUCGUAGUCCGGAUCGCAGUCUGCAACUCGACUGCGUGAAGUCGGAAUCGCUAGUAAUCGUGAAUCAGAAUGUCACGGUGAAUACGUUCCCGGGCCUUGUACACACCGCCCGUCACACCAUGGGAGUGGGUUGCUCCAGAAGUAGCUAGUCUAACCGCAAGGGGGACGGUUACCACGGAGUGAUUCAUGACUGGGGUGAAGUCGUAACAAGGAA